AACUUUUAAAGGAUAACAGUCAAUCCAUUGGUCUUAGGA
This 39-nucleotide transfer RNA is filed under the name Hylocharis chrysura (gilded hummingbird). RNAcentral describes it as "partial tRNA-Leu". Lineage: Eukaryota; Metazoa; Chordata; Aves; Apodiformes; Trochilidae. The record is from RNAcentral.